RNAcentral lists this ribosomal RNA (459 nucleotides) under uncultured bacterium. RNAcentral describes it as "partial 16S ribosomal RNA". It matches the Rfam family "Bacterial small subunit ribosomal RNA", at positions 338 to 795 of the family's 1533-position model. The record is from RNAcentral.
CCUACGGGUGGCAGCAGUGAGGAAUAUUGGUCAAUGGGCGGAAGCCUGAACCAGCCAAGUCGCGUGAGGGAUGACGGCCCUAUGGAUUGUAAACCGCUUUUGUCCGGGGAUAACACCCUCCACUUGUGGAGGUCUGAGGGUACCGUGCGAAUAAGGGCCGGCUAAUUCCGUGCCAGCAGCCGCGGUAAUACGGAAGGCGCGAGCGUUAUCCGGAUUCAUUGGGUUUAAAGGGUGCGUAGGCGGGCGUUCAAGUCAGCGGUAAAAUGGCGAGGCUCAACCGCGUCGAGCAGUUGAAACUGGUCGCCUUGAGUGCACAAGAGGCAGGCGGAAUGCGUGGUGUAGCGGUGAAAUGCAUAGAUAUCACGAGGAACCCCGAUUGCGAAGGCAGCAUGCCGGGGUGCAACUGACGCUGAGGCUCGAAGGUGCGGGUAUCAAACAGGAUUAGAUACCCGGGUAGUC